RNAcentral lists this transfer RNA (79 nucleotides) under Agrobacterium tumefaciens. Its description in RNAcentral is "tRNA-Thr". The record is from RNAcentral. Lineage: Bacteria; Pseudomonadati; Pseudomonadota; Alphaproteobacteria; Hyphomicrobiales; Rhizobiaceae.
GCGAUGUUAUCCAAUGUUAAUCGAGAGCACGUCAUUCGUAAUGACGGGGUCACGUGUUCGAGUCACGUAAGCGGCACCA